This 107-nucleotide non-coding RNA is filed under the name uncultured Acidaminococcus sp. RNAcentral's name for it is "SAM riboswitch (S box leader)". It matches the Rfam family "SAM riboswitch aptamer (S box leader)". From Rfam's summary of the family: The SAM riboswitch is found upstream of a number of genes which code for proteins involved in methionine or cysteine biosynthesis in Gram-positive bacteria. The SAM riboswitch acts at the level of transcription termination control. The record is from RNAcentral. Lineage: Bacteria; Bacillati; Bacillota; Negativicutes; Acidaminococcales; Acidaminococcaceae.
UUCAUCCAGAGUAACGGAGGGACUGGCCCUAUGAAGUUACGGCAACCAUCAGCGGCUUUGGCCGGCUGAACGGUGCUAAGUCCAUCAGGCGUGGCCUGAAAGAUGAA